CCCCCUGAAUUCUUUCUAACACCCGGUGGACCACCUCUUUGGGUGUCAUUAGCAGAAAAGGGUUAUUAUGGAUUUAAGCCUACAGUUUGUGCUCUUUGCAACUCAAGGACCCAUGAUAUUUUACAAUGUCCUGAGAGGAAAUAUUUUCCAGAUUAUGUCCAAGAGUAUAUAUAUAUGAGAAUCGAUUCAAAAUGGAACUGGAAUAAUCCCCAUUCAGAGUUCUACACUAAAAGUUUGAAAGAGCAUCUUGGGCAAUAUUUCGAGCAGCUUAAUGUGCCACAAGAGCUUUCGGUGGAGGACAAGCUCGCUAAAUUGUUGGAAUUAACUGACUUAUACAUUGAAAUAACAAAUGAAGGAUUUCAAAUUCAAGCAGUAAACCGUGGGAAAAGCUAUGAUGAUCAAGAGGUUGGUGCAGGAACUGAGGAGCCAUCUGUCUGUUAUUCACGUCCAAAGGAGGAAACAGCCCAUGAUGACCUUGAAAAUUCCAUAGAAUCUGCUCCUUCAAAAGUCUGUGUGCCACUCAUGCACUAUCCCGAGACUCCAAGGCGACCCGCUAAGCAGCAAGAAUGCAUGAAUACUCUGACAAAUCUAAAUAUAGGACAGCUGCUUACUGAUUAGAAAAUUUUAGCGGCGGUAACGGACAGUGCACCUGCACAGCCCAUCAAAUUCAAAGAAAUGCCAGAUGAGUCCUGCAAACAGGCAAAGAUCCACAAGGAAACAAAGAAAAAGCUUAAUGGCAACCUAAUUCUUCGUCAAGAAAUUCGGCCAAUGCAGAAAUUGUGGGUGUCAAAUACAAGGUUUAAGUCAGUUCGACGAAGACGUAAACAUUGCUGGAAGGGAUCCUAUUUUAUUACAACAUUUCAUUCAUAUAGAAGGGCUAAUAUGAAGGAUUCAACCACUUCCCUGAAACACAUAAUUGACAAACAUCAUCUCAUUCCGUACCUACUGUUGUUGUAUGAUGCUAUCAAGGAGUGGUUGAUUAUAAGAGAACAAGUGACGUGAUUAUCAAUUCAUUCCUCUACGUCUAGCUAUAGACAUUAACUACAGCGCUUAUUGGGAGGCAACCCAAUUUUUCUAAACUCUUUUCUUUUUAUUUUCGUUCAUUUUAUUUUCUUCCUUCUAGUCUUUAUCACAAAAAAAAAACAAAAACAAAACAAAAAAAUCAGAAAAUUGAAAAACACAAAAACAGCAAUUGUUUUUCGUUAAUCAGUAUUUUAUUUUGGGAUUUACUCGAAUUAGAUUUUUAAUCUGUGUUUUUUUUUUUUUUUUUUUUUUUUUGCAGGUUGCAUUUGGACUCGAAGGGCCCUAAAUAUCCAUUAAGCGCGCAAAAUUCAACUGAAUCAUGCUUUUAGCAGCAUUUGGGGUCAUCACUGGUGGCGAAUAAAAUUGUUACCUCUGCAUGACUCGGGUCCGCGAUGUCCUCAAUGUUUGUUUUGUCCUUGCUAUUGUUCAGCUCCAGCUCGAUAACCUUUGCACCCUAACGAGAUGUACAGAUUUUACACAUGCGGUGAAGUUAUAUGAGACAUGCAGUAAGAGAUCAGUUAUGGAGGGUUGUGAGUUUACCUUUUUGUGUUUCGGAUCUGAGCUAAUCGAGUGUUGUUUUUCCUUUUGCCCAUUAUGACUUCUGCGGAUCCGACAUCCCUUACACAAAUCAGCCAAGCCUCUGUUAGUUUGUUUCUUUUCUGUAUCAAAAAAAAAAAUCAUCAGAUGGAUUACACCAGGUUAGGGGUGAUGUUUACCUCUGUGGGACGAUUGGAGCUGAAAUGUGUCUACAUUUCCAUGACCGCAAUUGUUUUGGGUUGUGCAGAAAAGAGAGAGGGCUGAAAAAUAAAAUGGAAGGUUUGCAGGAAGAGGGAUGCCGAAUUGAGAAGGAUUAAAAGCCUUUUUAGCUUUUCUAGAGAGAGCAGAGAUAUGGGGUCUGAGAGAAAAGAGAGAGGGAGUAGAGAUGAAAUGGGGAAAUGAGAGAAGUCAAUAGAGAGAUUAAAAACCUUUUCAGAUUUUCUAGGGAGAGGACGAUGGGCAUAUGGGGUUGAUAUUAACCCUUGAUUCGAAUCCUAUGGAGCUUCUCUUUCCGAUGCAUGACAACUGGGCGCAUCCUCCUCUUUUAGGCUCCCUAGGACACGGUUUGAAGAGAGGGGAGAGAGCCGUUUGGGCUCUGUGUUUGAUAUUGACAGAGACAUCAACCUGACGCCAGCUGCACGCCACUUUGACACGGCAUGCCAAUUGCAUGCCUUUCAAAGAAGCAUCCAAUGUUUUCCUGUGUGUGUGCACGGGUUUUGGUGCACAUGUGCUGUAAACAUGGACUUGGUGUGCGAGUUGGGAUCAUGCCCCAAGGCUAUUCAAUCACUCACAUCACAGCCAUGUGGAAUCAUUUUUUCCAAGCACACAGUUUAUCAUUAGUCACGGCUCCAUGACCUUCCAAAUAAAACACCAGGUGCAUGUUUUCCUUUCUUUACUUUUGUUUCUUUUGUUACUUUUCCUUGGCUUUUCUUUAGUUUUUAUUAUUUUAUUAUAUUUUAUAUUUUUUUUAAUUUUUUAAUUUUUUUUUUUUUAGUUGUUAUGUUUAGUCAGGUUUCGUUUUUGUUGUUUUUUUUAUUUGCAUUUAUUUUCCACACCUUGAGGACAAAGUGUGAAAU
This 2636-nucleotide long non-coding RNA is filed under the name Malus domestica (apple). Its description in RNAcentral is "long non-coding RNA (MDOM_LNC013560)". Lineage: Eukaryota; Viridiplantae; Streptophyta; Magnoliopsida; Rosales; Rosaceae. The record is from RNAcentral.